UAAGGAAUAUUGGUCAAUGGAGGCAACUCUGAACCAGCCAUGCCGCGUGAAGGAUUAAGGCCCUCUGGGUUGUAAACUUCUUUUAUAUGGGAAUAAAUGUACUUUUUCUAAAGUGCUUGACGGUACCAUAGGAAUAAGCACCGGCUAACUCCGUGCCAGCAGCCGCGGUAAUACGGAGGGUGCAAGCGUUAUCCGGAUUUACUGGGUUUAAAGGGUGCGUAGGCGGAUGAAUAAGUCAGUGGUGAAAUCUCCGAGCUUAACUCGGAAACUGCCGUUGAUACUAUUUGUCUUGAAUAUGUUGGAGGGAAGCGGAAUAUGUCAUGUAGCGGUGAAGUGCUUAGAUAUGACAUAGAACACCAAUUGCGAAGGCAGCUUGCUACAC
Molecule: ribosomal RNA, 382 nt
Filed under: uncultured bacterium
Lineage: Bacteria
Description: bacterial SSU rRNA
Rfam family: Bacterial small subunit ribosomal RNA
Source: RNAcentral